GAUGAACGCUGGCGGCGUGCCUAAUACAUGCAAGUCGAGCGAACAGACGAGGAGCUUGCUCCUCUAACGUUAGCGGCGGACGGGUGAGUAACACGUGGAUAACCUACCUAUAAGACUGGGAUAACUUCGAGAAACCGGAGCUAAUACCGGAUAAUAUAUUGAACCGCAUGGUUCAAUAGUGAAAGACGGUUUUGCUGUCACUUAUAGAUGGAUCCGCGCCGCAUUAGCUAGUUGUGAAGGUAACAGCUUACCAAGGCAACGAUGCGUAGCCGACCUGAGAGGGUGAUAGGCCACACUGGAACUGAGACACGGACCAGACGACUACGGGAGGCAGCAGUAGGGAAUCUUCCGCAAUGGGCGAAAGCCUGACGGAGCAACGCCGCGUGAGUGAUGAAGGUCUUCGGAUCGUAAAACUCUGUUAUUAGUGAAGAACAAAUGUGUAAGUAACUAUGCACGUCUUGACGGUACCUAAUCAGAAAGCCACGGCUAACUACGUG
Molecule: ribosomal RNA, 497 nt
Filed under: uncultured bacterium
Lineage: Bacteria
Description: partial 16S ribosomal RNA
Rfam family: Bacterial small subunit ribosomal RNA
Source: RNAcentral